RNAcentral lists this ribosomal RNA (253 nucleotides) under uncultured bacterium. RNAcentral's name for it is "partial 16S ribosomal RNA". It matches the Rfam family "Bacterial small subunit ribosomal RNA", at positions 524 to 776 of the family's 1533-position model. The record is from RNAcentral.
UACGGGGGGAGCAAGCGUUGUUCGGAUUUACUGGGCGUAAAGCGUGCGCAGGCGGCGCGUUAAGACAGGUGUGAAAGCCCCGAGCUUAACUUGGGAAUUGCGCUUGUGACUGGCGUGCUGGAGUGUGGCAGAGGGAGGUGGAAUUCCACGUGUAGCAGUGAAAUGCGUAGAGAUGUGGAGGAACACCGAUGGCGAAGGCAGCCUCCUGGGCCAGCACUGACGCUCAUGCACGAAAGCGUGGGGAGCAAACAGG